CGGAGUGUUCGCGGUGGUCGUGACACCUCUUCUUGAUCGGAGCGGAGGAGAGAGGAGGUUUUCCGGCUGAGACUGGCGGAGGAGUGAGGAAGAGGGAGGAUCCUAGUUUGCCGUAAGAGACACUGGCGUCGCCGGUGAUGGCGGAGGACAUGAAGGAGGAGUUGGAGGAGACGCUGAAGGUUUCUUUAGAGAAUUGGAGGUCCAUGGAUUUGGCGUUGGAGGCGAAAAUGCUAGGUUUUGUGAAAUCGAGGGUUAGAGACUGGGAGUGCGAAGGGACGAAGGUGGAGGGAGGUUGGUGGAGGGUGACCGGG
Molecule: long non-coding RNA, 311 nt
Filed under: Glycine max (soybean)
Lineage: Eukaryota; Viridiplantae; Streptophyta; Magnoliopsida; Fabales; Fabaceae
Description: long non-coding RNA (GMAX_LNC001177)
Source: RNAcentral